Molecule: ribosomal RNA, 550 nt
Filed under: uncultured bacterium
Lineage: Bacteria
Description: bacterial SSU rRNA
Rfam family: Bacterial small subunit ribosomal RNA
Source: RNAcentral
UAGGGAAUCUUCGGCAAUGGACGGAAGUCUGACCGAGCAACGCCGCGUGAGUGAAGAAGGUUUUCGGAUCGUAAAGCUCUGUUGUAAGAGAAGAACGAGUGUGAGAGUGGAAAGUUCACACUGUGACGGUAUCUUAUCAGAAAGGGACGGCUAACUACGUGCCAGCAGCCGCGGUAAUACGUAGGUCCCGAGCGUUGUCCGGAUUUAUUGGGCGUAAAGCGAGCGCAGGCGGUUAGAUAAGUCUGAAGUUAAAGGCUGUGGCUUAACCAUAGUACGCUUUGGAAACUGUUUAACUUGAGUGCAAGAGGGGAGAGUGGAAUUCCAUGUGUAGCGGUGAAAUGCGUAGAUAUAUGGAGGAACACCGGUGGCGAAAGCGGCUCUCUGGCUUGUAACUGACGCUGAGGCUCGAAAGCGUGGGGAGCAAACAGGAUUAGAUACCCUGGUAGUCCACGCCGUAAACGAUGAGUGCUAGGUGUUAGACCCUUUCCGGGGUUUAGUGCCGUAGCUAACGCAUUAAGCACUCCGCCUGGGGAGUACGACCGCAAGGUUG